Long non-coding RNA from Hevea brasiliensis (rubber tree), 630 nucleotides. RefSeq lists it as uncharacterized. Lineage: Eukaryota; Viridiplantae; Streptophyta; Magnoliopsida; Malpighiales; Euphorbiaceae. The transcript is spliced from 2 exons. The record is from RefSeq and is a predicted model, not a curated record.
GCCUCUAUAUAUAAGAUGUGGAUGAGAGAAGUUGGCAUAGAAACAAAACAACGAAAGUGAAAGAAAAAGAGAAAUGAGAGCCUCAAUGAGCUGGUGUGCCACUACGAGUUUCUUACUAGUCAUGCUUUCUUUAAAUCUGCUUUCAGGGGCCUUUGCAAGACACCACAAAUUGCCCCCACCACCACACACGGUUUAUUUGACUCCAUCACCAUCACCUAAUAAUCCUCCUUUACCAAAAUCACCACCAGUGCACAAGAAAUCUCCUCCACCAUCACCACCACAAUUUGCAAGGGUACCAUCACCAAAGAAACCGAAAUCUUCACCACCACCACCUGAUCAAAUUUAUCAUAUACCUCCAUUUCCCCUUACCUGAGGUUCUAAUGGAGAAUGGAAAGUCUGGCCCUAGGUAUCUAAAUUUGGUCAUAGCUAUUGGUGAUGGUGAUACUCGAUCCAUAUAUUGUGGUUUAAUUUAAUAAUGAGCAUGUGAGAAUGAUAAAAUAAAAUUAAAAUAUAAGAGUGAAAUGUAAUAUCGUUUUUCUUUUUCAAUUUCAAUUUCGUAUUAAUGAAAUUGAUCAUAAUAUCAAUUGUGAAUUGAAUUUGAUCAAAUUUAAGUAAGUUGGUUUUGGAUUA